This 421-nucleotide ribosomal RNA is filed under the name uncultured bacterium. RNAcentral describes it as "bacterial SSU rRNA". It matches the Rfam family "Bacterial small subunit ribosomal RNA", at positions 355 to 775 of the family's 1533-position model. The record is from RNAcentral.
UGGGGAAUCUUGCGCAAUGGCCGAAAGGCUGACGCAGCGACGCCGCGUGCGGGAUGACGGCCUUCGGGUUGUAAACCGCUGUUGCCCGGGACGAACACCCCUAUUCGUAGGGGCUGACGGUACCGGGUGAGGAAGCACCGGCUAACUCUGUGCCAGCAGCCGCGGUAAUACAGAGGGUGCGAGCGUUGUCCGGAAUCACUGGGCGUAAAGGGCGCGUAGGCGGUCCGGUAAGCGUGCGGUGAAAGCCCGGGGCUCAACCCCGGGUCGGCCGUGCGAACUGCGGGACUGGAGCCGAUCAGAGGCAGGCGGAAUUCCGGGUGUAGCGGUGGAAUGCGUAGAGAUCCGGAAGAACACCGGUGGCGAAGGCGGCCUGCUGGGGUCUUGGCUGACGCUGAAGCGCGACAGCGUGGGGAGCAAACAG